This 212-nucleotide long non-coding RNA is filed under the name Gallus gallus (chicken). The record is from RNAcentral. Lineage: Eukaryota; Metazoa; Chordata; Aves; Galliformes; Phasianidae.
GUCUGUUGCUGUAAAAGCAGCUGUCUUGCUGCCUGGAGUGCCUGCUGUUGUUGCAGAUGCAGCAGUUCCACUGUGCUUACUUCAGUGCUCGUGUCACCACUUGAUCUUCCAUCUCUGCUGCCAGCAUCUAAUUGGCUGCUUAGAGUGCUCAUUCCAUUUUGAUUCAUUGAACUGUUGCUUAUUGUCUCUGUCGCAGAUUCCUGCAUCAUGAC